RNAcentral lists this unclassified non-coding RNA (461 nucleotides) under Hevea brasiliensis (rubber tree). Lineage: Eukaryota; Viridiplantae; Streptophyta; Magnoliopsida; Malpighiales; Euphorbiaceae. The record is from RNAcentral.
AAAAAAAAAAAAAAAAGACUAAAUCACUACUUUGAUUAGGCUGAUCAAAAGAUGAAUUAAAGGGCGAUGGUGACAUGGAGUUGUUUUUUGAUUUAUUCAAUGUUUAGCUUUGGAUCUUACAUUAAAAGGGGAAACAAAGAAUUAAGGCCUUGUGAAUUAAUGUGUAAAUUAUAAUUUAAAUGUUGUGUUCAUAUGGAUUGUAAAAUUUAAAAAUAAAAUAAAAUAUCGAUAUUUCAAUUAAUUUUCUCGUAAGCAAAAAAUUUUGAAAAUUCUAAUUCAUUUGGAGAAUUAAGAAAAGUUUGUUAGUUUAUUCUAUAAUUUUAUUUGAAUUGAGCAACUCGCCCCAACAACUGCCUGAUGAGUGAAUUUUUCUCUGAAAUCAAUAAAUAGAGAGAAAUCUCAUUAGAGGGCAAGGCCUAUUUUGCUAGGAUUGUUAAAAUAUUAAAACAACAUAAGCUGAA